GCCCGUCUUGCUCAGUUGGUAAAGCACAAGGCUCUUAACCGUAUGGACGUGGAUUCAAGUCCAUGAUGGGGG
RNAcentral lists this transfer RNA (72 nucleotides) under Triticum aestivum (bread wheat). It matches the Rfam family "tRNA". From Rfam's summary of the family: Transfer RNA (tRNA) molecules are approximately 80 nucleotides in length. The record is from Rfam by way of RNAcentral. Lineage: Eukaryota; Viridiplantae; Streptophyta; Magnoliopsida; Poales; Poaceae.